GCGGGCGUAGUUCAGUGGCAGAACAUCAGCUUCCCAAGCUGAAUAUGAGGGUCCGAUUCCCUUCGCCCGCUCCA
This 74-nucleotide transfer RNA is filed under the name Candidatus Omnitrophota bacterium. RNAcentral's name for it is "Candidatus Omnitrophica bacterium tRNA-Gly". It matches the Rfam family "tRNA". Rfam says of the family: Transfer RNA (tRNA) molecules are approximately 80 nucleotides in length. Lineage: Bacteria; Pseudomonadati; Candidatus Omnitrophota. RNAcentral also lists the same sequence under 1 other name. The record is from RNAcentral.